GAUGAAGAACGCAGCGAAAUGCGAUAAGUAAUGUGAAUUGCAGAAUUUAGUGAAUCAUCGAAUCUUUGAACGCACAUUGCGCCCGCCAGUAUUCUGGCGGGCAUGCCUGUUCGAGCGUCAUUACAACCCUCAGGCCCCCGGGCCUGGCGUUGGGGAUCGGCGGAAGCCCCCUGCGGGCACAACGCCGUCCCCCAAAUACAGUGGCGGUCCCGCCGCAGCUUCCAUUGCGUAGUAGCUAACACCUCGCAACUGGAGAGCGGCGCGGCCACGCCGUAAAACACCCAACUUCUGAAUGUUGACCUCGAAUCAGGUAGGAAUACCCGCUGAACUUAAGCAUAUCAAUAAGCGGAGGA
This 353-nucleotide unclassified non-coding RNA is filed under the name soil metagenome. Its description in RNAcentral is "partial contains 5.8S ribosomal RNA, internal transcribed spacer 2, and large subunit ribosomal RNA". The stretch from base 1 to 120 matches the Rfam family "5.8S ribosomal RNA", at positions 35 to 154 of the family's 154-position model. The record is from RNAcentral.